UACCGAGUUUUUAAAUUUUUACUAAACAUAUAUUUACUUAUCAAAAAUUUAACAAAGUAAGAUUGAAAUAAUAUUUAAGUAACAAAAAACCCGAAAACCCCGAAAAAUCCGACAAAACCGAACCAAUCCAAACCGAUAUAGUUGAUUUUGCUAAAAAUCGAACCAAUCCGAUCCACGCACACCCUUACUCAAUGUCGAUUAUCUCCCUUUUAUGAUGGUAGGAUUCCAAAAUAACUCGCAUGCACCUUGAUUAAUAUGUCGGAUAACCUGUUAUAAUCGACAAGCCCAAUUAUUAAAAAACUUAUCCAUCAAAAAUAAAAUAGAUGGAAACACUUAACAAGGGUGUGUUAGCCAUGAACUAGAUUAAAAAAUAAAAUAAAAUAAAAUAGAUGAACUUACAUUGAAUAUUUUCACAUAAUUAUAAAAUGAAAUCUUUAAGUUGUUAGUCAUAUGCAUCAACCUGUCAGUUAUAACUUUUGAAACAAGUAUCUCUUUUAAUACUACCUUAGCUCCAAUAUAAUCUUGUAAUCUUUCAAGUUUCUCUUACAUCAAAAAGAUAUUCAAUAACUUAAAAUAAUUAUUAUAUCAUUCUCUUAAAUAUCUCAUUUAAUUAAUACUCAAAGUAAUACCAAUAAAUUUUUAUAAAACGUCAAAUCUUAGAACAAAUUCAAUUUGCAAAAGCGACUAAUAUUUGUGACCGCAAAAAAUAUUAUAGGACCAGUAGUUUAGAAUUUAGUACCGUCUUUUGUUUUUCUUGCAAAUAUUGAAAAUCCAGAUUAAUAUUAAAAAUUUAUUAAUCAUUUUUUAAGGGAAUAGAUAGAACUAACUAGGGUGGUCAACACUCUGUUAAGUGGGGGUGAUGUACGUUUCUCUGUUGACUUACAUGUAAGAACAGAACUCAAAAUGCCUCUGAUGAUGCCACGUAAGGAAAUAAGACCAUUCUGUGGGACCCAGUUCUUACGUGGCAAGAUCAUAAUGGUGUACAACCCUAAUGCGAAUAGAAGGAAUAUACCUUAAGAAGAUGCCAGCAUCAAAAAGCCCUUUAAAUACGGCACUAAUUCUCCAUCUUCUCUUCAUUACUCAGAGAGUUCAGAUUCAGAGAAGCUAAUAAAUGCAAAAAUCAGAGUUUUAUUUUUUGGCUUUUUGUUAAGCCUUUGAACGUAAAGUUUUAUAGGAAAUUUUCUUCAUUGAAAUUUCCAAGAUUUUAGCUUUCUGCUUCUCUACUGUUUCUUGAUUCUGUUUCACUAGCUGGAAAGUGAAAAUUUCGUGGAGAAAAACCAUAUAAGG
Molecule: long non-coding RNA, 1287 nt
Filed under: Nicotiana tabacum (common tobacco)
Lineage: Eukaryota; Viridiplantae; Streptophyta; Magnoliopsida; Solanales; Solanaceae
Description: long non-coding RNA (NTAB_LNC004041)
Source: RNAcentral